Molecule: ribosomal RNA, 567 nt
Filed under: Trichoderma asperellum
Lineage: Eukaryota; Fungi; Ascomycota; Sordariomycetes; Hypocreales; Hypocreaceae
Description: eukaryotic LSU rRNA
Rfam family: 5.8S ribosomal RNA (bases 186-339)
Source: RNAcentral
CCGAGUUUACAACUCCCAAACCCAAUGUGAACCAUACCAAACUGUUGCCUCGGCGGGGUCACGCCCCGGGCGCGUCGCAGCCCCGGAACCAGGCGCCCGCCGGAGGGACCAACCAAACUCUUUUCUGUAGUCCCCUCGCGGACGUUAUUUCUUACAGCUCUGAGCAAAAAUUCAAAAUGAAUCAAAACUUUCAACAACGGAUCUCUUGGUUCUGGCAUCGAUGAAGAACGCAGCGAAAUGCGAUAAGUAAUGUGAAUUGCAGAAUUCAGUGAAUCAUCGAAUCUUUGAACGCACAUUGCGCCCGCCAGUAUUCUGGCGGGCAUGCCUGUCCGAGCGUCAUUUCAACCCUCGAACCCCUCCGGGGGGUCGGCGUUGGGGACCUCGGGAGCCCCUAAGACGGGAUCCCGGCCCCGAAAUACAGUGGCGGUCUCGCCGCAGCCUCUCCUGCGCAGUAGUUUGCACAACUCGCACCGGGAGCGCGGCGCGUCCACGUCCGUAAAACACCCAACUUCUGAAAUGUUGACCUCGGAUCAGGUAGGAAUACCCGCUGAACUUAAGCAUAUCAAA